CCGCGGUAUCCUGACCGUGCAAAGGUAGCAUAAUCACUUGCCUAUUAAUUGUAGGCUAGAAUGAAAGGACAAACGAGAAUACACCUGUCUCCUUUAAGUCCUUAAAAAUUUAUCUUUAAGUGAAGAAGCUUAAAUUUCUAUGCAGGACAAGAAGACCCUAUAGAGCUUUACCUAAAAUCUACAUAAAUAGUAGCUAGCGGUUCGGUUGGGGCGACCGGGGGACAUUCAUCACCCCCAAACUAAAAGAUAUACCUAUCCCACCAAAGAUCCUUACUCAAGAUCAAAGAAUCAAGCUACCUUAGGGAUAACAGGCUAAUCCUCUUAGAGAGCCCUUAUCGACAAGAGGGGUUGGCACCUCGAUGUUGGCUU
This 369-nucleotide ribosomal RNA is filed under the name Tubifex tubifex (sludge worm). RNAcentral describes it as "partial 16S ribosomal RNA". It matches the Rfam family "Bacterial large subunit ribosomal RNA", at positions 1931 to 2538 of the family's 2925-position model. The record is from RNAcentral. Lineage: Eukaryota; Metazoa; Annelida; Clitellata; Tubificida; Naididae.